This 521-nucleotide ribosomal RNA is filed under the name Pseudomonas sp. RNAcentral's name for it is "bacterial SSU rRNA". It matches the Rfam family "Bacterial small subunit ribosomal RNA", at positions 78 to 594 of the family's 1533-position model. The record is from RNAcentral. Lineage: Bacteria; Pseudomonadati; Pseudomonadota; Gammaproteobacteria; Pseudomonadales; Pseudomonadaceae.
CUGUGCUCCUGGAUUCAGCGGCGGACGGGUGAGUAAUGCCUAGGAAUCUGCGCUGGUAGUGGGGGAUAACGUCCGGAAACGGGCGCUAGUACCGCAUACGUCCUGAGGGAGAAAGUGGGGGAUCUUCGGACCUCGCGCUAUCAGAUGAGCCUAGGUCGGAUUAGCUAGUUGGUGGGGUAAAGGCCUACCAAGGCGACGAUCCGUAACUGGUCUGAGAGGAUGAUCAGUCACACUGGAACUGAGACACGGUCCAGACUCCUACGGGAGGCAGCAGUGGGGAAUAUUGGACAAUGGGCGAAAGCCUGAUCCAGCCAUGCCGCGUGUGUGAAGAAGGUCUUCGGAUUGUAAAGCACUUUAAGUUGGGAGGAAGGGCAGUAAGUUAAUACCUUGCUGUUUUGACGUUACCAACAGAAUAAGCACCGGCUAACUUCGUGCCAGCAGCCGCGGUAAUACGAAGGGUGCAAGCGUUAAUCGGAAUUACUGGGCGUAAAGCGCGCGUAGGUGGUUCAGCAAGUUGGAUG